GACGAACGCUGGCGGCGUGCUUAACACAUGCAAGUCGAACGGAAAGGCCCUGCUUUUGUGGGGUGCUCGAGUGGCGAACGGGUGAGUAACACGUGAGUAACCUGCCCUUGACUUUGGGAUAACUUCAGGAAACUGGGGCUAAUACCGGAUAGGAGCUCCUGCUGCAUGGUGGGGGUUGGGAAGUUUCGGCGGUUGGGGAUGGACUCGCGGCUUAUCAGCUUGUUGGUGGGGUAGUGGCUUACCAAGGCUUUGACGGGUAGCCGGCCUGAGAGGGUGACCGGCCACAUUGGGACUGAGAUACGGCCCAGACUCCUACGGGAGGCAGCAGUGGGGAAUAUUGCACAAUGGGCGGAAGCCUGAUGCAGCAACGCCGCGUGCGGGAUGACGGCCUUCGGGUUGUAAACCGCUUUCGCCUGUGACGAAGCGUGAGUGACGGUAAUGGGUAAAGAAGCACCGGCUAACUACGUGCCAGCAGCCGCGGUGAUACGUAGGGUGCGAGCGUUGUCCGGAUUUAUUGGGCGUAAAGGGCUCGUAGGUGGUUGAUCGCGUCGGAAGUGUAAUCUUGGGGCUUAACCCUGAGCGUGCUUUCGAUACGGGUUGACUUGAGGAAGGUAGGGGAGAAUGGAAUUCCUGGUGGAGCGGUGGAAUGCGCAGAUAUCAGGAGGAACACCAGUGGCGAAGGCGGUUCUCUGGGCCUUUCCUGACGCUGAGGAGCGAAAGCGUGGGGAGCGAACAGGCUUAGAUACCCUGGUAGUCCACGCUGUAAACGGUGGGUACUAGGUGUGGGGUCCAUUCCACGGGUUCCGUGCCGUAGCUAACGCUUUAAGUACCCCGCCUGGGGAGUACGGCCGCAAGGCUAAAACUCAAAGGAAUUGACGGGGCCCCGCACAAGCGGCGGAGCAUGCGGAUUAAUUCGAUGCAACGCGUAGAACCUUACCUGGGUUUGACAUGGAUCGGGAGUGCUCAGAGAUGGGUGUGCCUCUUUUGGGGUCGGUUCACAGGUGGUGCAUGGCUGUCGUCAGCUCGUGUCGUGAGAUGUUGGGUUAAGUCCCGCAACGAGCGCAACCCUUGUUCACUGUUGCCAGCACGUUAUGGUGGGGACUCAGUGGAGACCGCCGGGGUCAACUCGGAGGAAGGUGGGGAUGACGUCAAGUCAUCAUGCCCCUUAUGUCCAGGGCUUCACGCAUGCUACAAUGGCUGGUACAGAGAGUGGCGAGCCUGUGAGGGUGAGCGAAUCUCGGAAAGCCGGUCUCAGUUCGGAUUGGGGUCUGCAACUCGACCUCAUGAAGUCGGAGUCGCUAGUAAUCGCAGAUCAGCAACGCUGCGGUGAAUACGUUCCCGGGGCUUGUACACACCGCCCGUCAAGUCAUGAAAGUUGGUAACACCCGAAGCCGGUGGCCUAACCGUUGUGGGGGAGCCGUCGAAGGUGGGACUGGUGAUUAGGACUAAGUCGUAACAAGGUAGCCGUACCGGAAGG
Molecule: ribosomal RNA, 1477 nt
Filed under: uncultured bacterium
Lineage: Bacteria
Description: 16S ribosomal RNA
Rfam family: Bacterial small subunit ribosomal RNA
Source: RNAcentral